UCAAAUGAAUUGACGGGGGCCCGCACAAGCGGUGGAGCAUGUGGUUUAAUUCGAUGCAACGCGAAGAACCUUACCUACUCUUGACAUCCAGAGAAUCUAGCGGAGACGCUGGAGUGCCUUCGGGAACUCUGAGACAGGUGCUGCAUGGCUGUCGUCAGCUCGUGUUGUGAAAUGUUGGGUUAAGUCCCGCAACGAGCGCAACCCUUAUCCUUGUUUGCCAGCGAGUAAUGUCGGGAACUCCAGGGAGACUGCCGGUGAUAAACCGGAGGAAGGUGGGGACGACGUCAAGUCAUCAUGGCCCUUACGAGUAGGGCUACACACGUGCUACAAUGGCGCAUACAGAGGGCKGCCAACUUGCGAAAGUGAGCGAAUCCCAAAAAGUGCGUCGUAGUCCGGAUUGGAGUCUGCAACUCGACUCCAUGAAGUCGGAAUCGCUAGUAAUCGUGGAUCAGAAUGCCACGGUGAAUACGUUCCCGGGCCUUGUACACACCGCCCGUCACACCAUGGGAGUGGGCUGCAAAAGAAGUGGGUAGUUUAACCUUCGGGAGGACGCUCACCACUUUGUGGUUCAUGACUGGGGUGAAGUCGUAACAAGGUAGCGCUAGGGGAACCUGGCGCUGGAUCACCUCCUUAUACGAUGAU
Molecule: ribosomal RNA, 642 nt
Filed under: Vibrio sp. 03_296
Lineage: Bacteria; Pseudomonadati; Pseudomonadota; Gammaproteobacteria; Vibrionales; Vibrionaceae
Description: bacterial SSU rRNA
Rfam family: Bacterial small subunit ribosomal RNA
Source: RNAcentral